CUACGGGGCGCUGCAGUGAGGAAUUUUGCGCAAUGGGGGAAACCCUGACGCAGCAACGCCGCGUGAGUGAAGAAGGCCCUUGGGUCGUAAAGCUCUGUCAAUGGGGAAGAAGUUACUUGGUAUUAAUAGUGCCUUGUAUUGACGGUACCCAUGAAGGAAGCACCGGCUAACUCCGUGCCAGCAGCCGCGGUAAUACGGGGGGUGCAAGCGGUAUUCGGAAUUAUUGGGCGUAAAGGGUACGCAGGCGGUCCUGUCAGUCAGAUGUGAAAGCCCGGGGCUCAACCCCGGACGUGCAUUUGAAACAGCAGGACUUGAGUACGGGAGAGGAAAGGGGAAUUCCUGGUGUAGAGGUGAAAUUCGUAGAUAUCAGGAGGAACACCGGUGGCGAAGGCGCCUUUCUGGACCGAUACUGACGCUGAGGUGCGAAGGCGUGGGUAGCGAACAGGAUUAGAUACCCUGGUAGUC
RNAcentral lists this ribosomal RNA (465 nucleotides) under uncultured bacterium. RNAcentral describes it as "partial 16S ribosomal RNA". It matches the Rfam family "Bacterial small subunit ribosomal RNA", at positions 339 to 795 of the family's 1533-position model. The record is from RNAcentral.